CGCACCUUGCGCUCUUUGGUAUUCCGAAGAGCAUGCCUGUUUGAGUGUCAUGAAAUUCUCAAGGGAAUAUACUUUGUUGUAUACAACCUUGGACCUGGAGGUUGUUGGCGCAAGUCAACUCUUCUUAAAUACAUUAGCUGGGGUUUUUGUAUGUGGAUCCUUGGUGUGAUAAUUAUCUACGCCUCGAUGUCCCCUCAAGCCUUGCUUCUAGUCGUCGUAAAAGACAAUCAUUUCAAUCUCUGACCUCAAAUCAGGUAGGACUACCCGCUGAACUUAA
RNAcentral lists this unclassified non-coding RNA (277 nucleotides) under Waitea circinata. RNAcentral's name for it is "partial contains 5.8S ribosomal RNA, internal transcribed spacer 2, and large subunit ribosomal RNA". The record is from RNAcentral. Lineage: Eukaryota; Fungi; Basidiomycota; Agaricomycetes; Corticiales; Corticiaceae.